Long non-coding RNA from Nerophis ophidion (straightnose pipefish), 537 nucleotides. RefSeq lists it as uncharacterized. NCBI's taxonomy places the organism in Eukaryota, Metazoa, Chordata, Actinopteri, Syngnathiformes, Syngnathidae. The transcript has 2 exons. The record is from RefSeq and is a predicted model, not a curated record.
UUUGUCUGCUGUCUCCGGGCCUGCUUCAGCGCGCCCGCCUCCACGUCAGCCGCGGAUGUGGCCGUGCCCUGGGCGUCCUCCUCGCGGGAUGCACUCGUCUCUUUUUCGGCCAAUGAUGUGGCUGUUCCGUGGCCGCCCGCCCCGCCAGUUCCAGCGGCGCUCUACGCGCCGUCGCCACCUGACUUUCCCUCGCUGGCUGCGGGGACACAAGGGAACAUCUGGUAUCUGUUCCUUGAGGGGGAGGUCCUGUAACGAUCUGUCACUUACUUUCUGAUAGUUUUUCGUGUUUUGUACUUUGUUUCCUGUUCAGUGCUCUUAUUUUGUCAUACUUCCUGUUUACUCCGCUGAGCACUGUUUUUGUCACACUCGCCGUUGAUUGGCAGCGGUCCUCAGCUGCGGUCAAUCAACAGGUCUAUUUAUGUUUCACUCGAGCACUCCUCAGUGCUCGAAGUUAAACCUAUGUUGGGAACAUCUCCAUGCAAGACUGCUUUCUGUUUAUAUCUUUUACUUUGAUGAAAUUAAAAUCAUCUUACCUGC